UGCCUGGUAGCGGGGGAUAACUAUUGGAAACGAUAGCUAAUACCGCAUAACAGUAGAUAUCGCAUGAUAGCUGCUUGAAAGGUGCAAAUGCACCACUACCAGAUGGACCUGCGUUGUAUUAGCUAGUUGGUGAGGUAACGGCUCACCAAGGCAACGAUACAUAGCCGACCUGAGAGGGUGAUCGGCCACACUGGGACUGAGACACGGCCCAG
Molecule: ribosomal RNA, 212 nt
Filed under: uncultured Streptococcaceae bacterium
Lineage: Bacteria; Bacillati; Bacillota; Bacilli; Lactobacillales; Streptococcaceae
Description: partial 16S ribosomal RNA
Rfam family: Bacterial small subunit ribosomal RNA
Source: RNAcentral